GAUAAUUGAUUUUUAUAGAUCAUGAGCGGUAUCUAGCAAUACAUCAUGACCACCCAAAUGUUAGAGAGUCAAUUAAAGAAUUUAACAAAGCCCUUUAAUAAUAAGUCUCUCAGUGCAAUACAGUCCUUUCAUCAAAUAUCUCGGAUAUGUCAUAAAAUAUGACUCAGUGUCUACUUAUAACAUUUCAUAUUAGUUCUCAUAAUUCAUGAUUAACCUUAUGAAUUUAGGAAACUAACUUUUCUCAAAUUCAUCAAGCUUUGGCCAAAAACUUUAUACAAGUUAAUCAAUAAUUGUGAACAAGUGAGAUACAUCCCUUUAUAUUAUUUGGGGUGAUAAAUCCUCUCUUGACCACUCAUUCACCUUUGCAUGCUUCAUCCGUAGGGAUAAAAUUAAAGUAUGUCAUUUCCCAUACAAGAUGACCUGGUGUCUCAAGUCGAAGGACUAAUUGCACAACUAUCAUAUGAGAACAUAUUUAAUAGACACUUGAGUAAAAUAUCAGAUGGAGUUCUCAUAGCGGGUCAUGUUAAGUGAACUUGUUCUUUAACAAGCACCUACAUGCUAUCUUCAAGUAUCUCAUAUACUUCAAUUUAUGAGAUCGAUUGCUUACUUUUUAAAAAAAGAGACUUAACAUGUAUCAGUCUUUGAGCAAUGUCAAUGCCUUGUCUUGUCAAUACAAUGAUCAGGAACAAUUUU
This 693-nucleotide long non-coding RNA is filed under the name Theobroma cacao (cacao). RNAcentral describes it as "long non-coding RNA (TCAC_LNC002675)". Lineage: Eukaryota; Viridiplantae; Streptophyta; Magnoliopsida; Malvales; Malvaceae. The record is from RNAcentral.